CAGUAGCCGCGGUAAGACAGAGGAUGCAAGCGUUAUACGGAAUGAUUGGGCGUAAAGCGUCUGUAGGUGGCUUUUCAAGUCCGCCGUCAAAUCCCAGGGCUCAACCUUGGACAGGCGGUGGAAACUACCAAGCUGGAGUAAGGUAGGGGCAGAGGGAAUUUCUGGUGGAGCGGUGAAAUGCGUUGAGAUCGAAAAGAACACCAACGGCGAAAGCACUUUGCUGGGCCGACACUGACGCUGAGGUACGAAAGCAUGGGGAGCAAACAGGAUUAGAUACCCCCGUAGUCCCUGUCUCUUAUAC
RNAcentral lists this ribosomal RNA (301 nucleotides) under uncultured bacterium. RNAcentral's name for it is "partial 16S ribosomal RNA". It matches the Rfam family "Bacterial small subunit ribosomal RNA", at positions 509 to 807 of the family's 1533-position model. The record is from RNAcentral.